This 67-nucleotide transfer RNA is filed under the name Pachycephala pectoralis (golden whistler). RNAcentral's name for it is "tRNA-Cys". Lineage: Eukaryota; Metazoa; Chordata; Aves; Passeriformes. The record is from RNAcentral.
GGCUCUGUAGUGAAGUUCAUGGUGGGUUGCAAGCCCAUUGAUGUGCACUAAUCAUGCACCGGGGUCU